Molecule: long non-coding RNA, 2906 nt
Filed under: Sus scrofa (pig)
Lineage: Eukaryota; Metazoa; Chordata; Mammalia; Artiodactyla; Suidae
Description: lncRNA (ENSSSCG00035020593.1)
Source: RNAcentral
UUUUUUUUUUUUUUUUUGCUUUUUAGGGCCACACCCAUAGCAUAUCGAAGUUCCCAGGCUAGGGGUCUAAUUGGAGCUACAGCUGCCAACCUAUGCCAGAGCCACAGCAACACCGGAUCCUUAACCCACUGAGCACGGUCAGGGAUCAAACCCAAAACCUCAUGGUUCCUAGCCAGAUUCGUUUCCACUGCACCAUGACGGGAACUCCAAAACUAAAUUAUUUGAAAAAGUGAGCCUCACACUGUGGUAUAUGAAUGACUGGCCAACAGGGACCUGCUGUAUAACACAGGGAACUCUACCCAGUAUUGUGUUCAUCUAUACUGGAAAAGAAUCCAAAAAAGAAUGGAUGUGUGUAUAACUGAAUCAGUUUGUUGUACAGCAAAAGUUAUCACAACCUUGUAAAUCAAUUAUACUACAAUAAAACUUUUAAAAGUGAAAAAAAAAUUAAAAAGGGCGUUCCCAUUGCGGUGCAGUGGAAACAAAUCUGACUAGUAUCCACAAGGAUGCAGGUUUGAUCCUUGGCUCAAUCAGUGGGUUAAAGAUGCGGCAUUGCUUGAGCUGUAGCGCAGGCCAGCAGCUGUAGCUCCAAUUCAACCCCUAGCCUGAGAACCUCCAUAUGCUGCAGGUGGGGACCCAAAAAGAUAAUAAAUAAAAGUUAAAAAGGGAGCCUCUCACUUCUCUACUGAGGGUGUCACCCAGGAGUCCCCUGUCUCCCAGAAGGAGCCUGGCCCACCCCCAGCUCUCUAGACACAGUGCAGCCCCUGUCUCUCAAACAGGAAAAGCUGACCCCCACCCAACCCUGGGGUAAUGUCUACUUUGCUCUUGGAAGGGGGUCCCAGAGGGAGGGGCAUUUAACGCACGAGUGGAGAAGUGGGGGAGGCACCAGAAGGGACGCUCAGGUAGGUGGCAAGAAGCCAGGUCCUGCCUCCCAAAAGCUCGGUGAGCUGGGCAGUGGCACGUGGAGUUGGAGGAUGGGAAUCCUGGUGCUAAAACCAGGACAGUCCUGGACAACCCGGGGCCUUUGGUCACCUUAGCAACUGCCCACUCGGUGAGAUGCGGGGGUAUCCAGAAGGUUCCUGACUCCCAGCUUAUCUCAGCCCCCUUACUCCUCUAUCCCAGACACCUGGAAUUCCACUGUCACCAGGAGGGACCUUUCCUAAUGGUGCUCAUGUGCUGGGCAUCAGAAAAGACCACGUGAAAUAAGGUGGUGCCUCUUUUGCAUUCUUUCUGAGAUUGCCCCAAAUGAAAACAUCUGCUAUUAACACGUCUGGCCUCGCUGUGGCGAGAUGACCUUCAGGAGGCAGGUGAGGUGUGCACAGCGACUGCCCUGCAACCCUGCCUCAGGGGUUUCCCUGGAGGAACCUGGGUACAAGGAGACCUGGGAAAGGGUGCUCGCUGGGCACGAGCCCCAGGCACAAGCUGUGACGCGGAUGAACCUCGAAAACAAACAGGCCAAGUGGAAGCAGCCCGACACUCGGGCCAUGUCCCACGACUCCAUUUAUAUGAAAUACCCCAAGUGGGUCAAUCCAUAGACACACGAGGCGGAUGAGUGGUUGCCAGGGACUGAGGGGCUGAGAGAGUUAAUGGGUACAGGGGUUUAUCCGGGGGGGUGGGCAGGGGUGGGUGUGUGAAAAGAAUGUUUGGGAAUUAGAUAGAAGUGGCUGAACCCCUCACUGUAAAAUAAUUAAUUUUGGGAGCUCCUCUGGUGGCGCAGCAGAAAUGAAUCUGACUAGCAUCCACAAGGAUGCAGGCUUGAUCCCUGGCCUUGCUCAGUGGGUUAAGGAUCCAGCAUUGCCGUGAGCUGUGGUGUAGGUCGCAGAAGUGGCUUGGAUCCUGCGUUGCUAUGGCUGUGGUGUAGGCCGGUAGCUACAGUUCCGAUUCGACCCCUAGCCUGGGAACUUCCAUAUGCCCUGGGUGUGGCCCUAAAAAAAAGCUAAAAUAAAAUAGUUAAUUUUAGGAGCCCCCACUGUGGCUCAGUGGUAAAGAACUAGUAUCCAUGAGGACGAGGGUUCCAUCCCUGGCCCUGCUCAGUGGGUUAAGGAUCCAGCAUUCCUUUGAGCUGUGGUGUAGGUCACAGACACAGCUCAGAUCCAGCAUUGCUGUGGCUAUGGUGUAAGCUGGCAGCUGUAGCUCUGAUUUAAUCCCUAGCCUGGGAAUUUCCAUAUUCCACAGGUGCGGCCCUAAAAAGCCCCCCCCCAAAAAAAAGAAAAUACUGAGAGAGACAGGAAAAGAAGUUAUUUUUGUUAUGUGAAUUUCCAAAAUAGUGCCUUGUUAAUAAUACCGAGCCCCAGAAGCCACCUGAGUGGCUCUCAGGAGGGAUCCUGGGCCUCUGGUACAGUGACUGAGAGAGGGAGGUGGCAGUGGGGGGGCAGGGAGAGGGAAGACCUCAGUCUAACCUGCGCUGUGCACCUGCCUCCUCGUGUGGGUGUCCAAGGCCCAGGCUUGCAGAGCAGGUGCAGAGUGGGGUGGUCCAGGCCUGACCCACUGGGACCUGGCUACCUGAGCCUCUUCUUAGCCCACACUCAGCCCGUGCCCAUCAGCUCUGCCCUGCCCACCAGGCUGCUGGUGUCUCUGACAGAGCCCCUUAGCCUGGAGGUAACCAGGGAGGGCUCCCCACCAAACCUUUGCAUAAAAAAAUGCACAAAUAAAAGGAAAAGGUGUCUUGGAUUAGUAGAUGCGAACUAUGACAUUUAGGAUGGAUGAGCAAUGAGGUCCUGCUGUGCGGCGCAAAGAACCAUAUCCAGUCACUUGGGAUAGAACAUGAUGGAAGAUAAUAUGAGGAAAAGAAUGUAUGUAGAUGUAUCACUGGGUCGCUUUGCUGUACAGGAGAAACUGACAGAACAUUGUAAAUCAACUAUAAUAAAAAAUAUUUUUUAAGUCAUUUAAAAAAAAACAAAAAACAAAAA